This 331-nucleotide ribosomal RNA is filed under the name uncultured Sphingobacteriales bacterium. RNAcentral describes it as "bacterial SSU rRNA". It matches the Rfam family "Bacterial small subunit ribosomal RNA", at positions 1050 to 1382 of the family's 1533-position model. The record is from RNAcentral. Lineage: Bacteria; Pseudomonadati; Bacteroidota; Sphingobacteriia; Sphingobacteriales.
UGUCGUCAGCUCGUGUCGUGAGGUGUCGGGUUAAGUCCCAUAACGAGCGCAACCCCUAUCAUUAGUUGCCAUCAGGUCAAGCUGGGGACUCUAAUGAAACUGCCUACGCAAGUAGUGAGGAAGCGGGGAUGACGUCAAAUCAGCACGGCCUUACGUCCAGGGCUACACACGUGCUACAAUGGCCGAUACAGAGGGCAGCUACCUGGUGACAGGAUGCAAAUCUCCAAAGUCGGUCUCAGUUCGGAUCGGAGUCUGCAACCCGACUCCGUGAAGUUGGAUUCGCUAGUAAUCGCGCAUCAGCCAUGGCGCGGUGAAUACGUUCCCGGGCCUU